Long non-coding RNA from Micropterus dolomieu (smallmouth bass), 1212 nucleotides. RefSeq lists it as uncharacterized. The record is from RefSeq and is a predicted model, not a curated record. NCBI's taxonomy places the organism in Eukaryota, Metazoa, Chordata, Actinopteri, Centrarchiformes, Centrarchidae. The transcript has 3 exons.
CACCAACAGAGCCUCGUCCAGCAGCAGCAACACCACCUGCAAACACUGAUACAACAAAAGAAAAAGGUUCCAACAAGAAACCCGGAGAGGACGAGACGGCUCCUUACCUGUGGCCGUCUGUUCGUAUGGGGAUUGGGAUACUCUGUUUAAUCAUCAUGACCAGCAUCACUGUCACUACCUGGAGAAAAGCUCGACAGAAACAGAAAAUGAUCUGUGAUCCUCCAUCACACAGAAACGAGAGGGGUAACAACUGAACCGUCUUCAGCGUCCAUCCUCAUGCAGCGCGACAGUCUUUCAGCUUUCAACCCAGUACUAUUAAACAGUACUUCAUAGACGUGCAGUAGUCAUACUAGUUUGUCACCUUUUAAAAUAGCUUUGUUUAUCUGAGGCUUUUACACUUCCUUUGUACUGUGUACUCAGGGGCGGACGUGUAAAUGAGGGGCGGAGAUGUAAAUAUGAGGGGGGAAUAAAGUAGGAGGAAAGAGAAAUGAGUGUUUGCCAAAACAAGAGGAAUGUAGAAGAAUAGAAAUGUUGGCACAAAAAGCAGCUAAAUGCACAUUUUCUGUGGUGGAAAGGUUGCAGUGGCAGGACCCAGCAGCAGCAGGGACAUGUGCACGAUUAGUAUGCAUUAAGCAUUUAUGUAUAGGCAAGUAUAUUGUAUAUUUUUAUAUUCUCGUGCAUAUGUAGCUGUACAAUCAGAGGCAGGGUCCAGCGGGGGAAGCUGAGCCAGGGAGAGGCCUAUUCAGAGCUUAAGUGUUCCUGCUCAGGCUUGCUUGACCCGGUCUUGUGCAGUGCAGGGGUGACUUGCUCAUACUAACGUAGGAGGCAGGUGUCAAUUUCAAUUUUCUUGAAGGUCUUCAGCAUAAUCUGAUUCUCUUUUUACCACAAAAACAUUGUUAGUGUUGAAAUAACUGCAAAAAAAUAAAAAAUAAAUCUCUCUCCUGGAGCCUAAAGGGCGCUCGUGUAAAAGGCCUCUCCGUCUUAAAGUCCAGGGCUGAAUUUCAGUCCCAGCACAUCCCUGAGUGUACUGCUUAGCUGCUAAUGUUAGCAUUUCCAAUUUUUAACCACAGUGUGAACACAAUUAGGUAAUUACAAUAUUUUGUGUGGUUAUGUUACAAACAUCCCUGUUCAGUACUGAAGAAUCUGCUGCUGAGAUCCUUAACUUUUGUAAAAGUGAAACAUUUGUGAACAUGUAAUAAAACAUAAAUGUGA